UACGGAGGGUGCGAGCGUUAAUCGGAAUUACUGGGCGUAAAGCGCGCGUAGGCGGUUUAGUCAGUCUGAUGUGAAAGCCCUGGGCUUAACCUGGGAACUGCAUUGGAUACUGCUAGGCUAGAGUGUGAUAGAGGGUAGUGGAAUUUCCGGUGUAGCAGUGAAAUGCGUAGAGAUCGGAAGGAACACCAGUGGCGAAGGCGGCUACCUGGGUCAACACUGACGCUGAGGUGCGAAAGCGUGGGGAG
Molecule: ribosomal RNA, 245 nt
Filed under: uncultured bacterium
Lineage: Bacteria
Description: partial 16S ribosomal RNA
Rfam family: Bacterial small subunit ribosomal RNA
Source: RNAcentral